RNAcentral lists this ribosomal RNA (267 nucleotides) under uncultured bacterium. Its description in RNAcentral is "partial 16S ribosomal RNA". It matches the Rfam family "Bacterial small subunit ribosomal RNA", at positions 541 to 807 of the family's 1533-position model. The record is from RNAcentral.
UUAUCCGGAUUUAUUGGGUUUAAAGGGAGCGUAGAUGGAUGUUUAAGUCAGUUGUGAAAGUUGCGGGCUCAACCGUAAAAUUGCAGUUGAUACUGGAUGUCUUGAGUGCAGUUGAGGCAGGCGGAAUUCGUGGUGUAGCGGUGAAAUGCUUAGAUAUCACGAAGAACUCCGAUUGCGAAGGCAGCCUGCUAAGCUGCAACUGACAUUGAGGCUCGAAAGUGUGGGUAUCAAACAGGAUUAGAUACCCUGGUAGUCCACACGGUAAAC